AUGGGUUUAUGGGUACUUCGGUACCCGACCUCCAACCCUGUGUCUAUAUUACCGUGUUGCUUUGGCGGGCCCGCCCUUCUGGGGCCGCCGGGGGCCUUUGUGCUCCUGGCCCGUGCCCGCCGGUGGCCAACCUAAAUUCUAUGUGAACCGUGUCGUCUGAGUAUCAAGUUUAAAUUAUUUA
This 181-nucleotide unclassified non-coding RNA is filed under the name uncultured fungus. Its description in RNAcentral is "sequence contains ITS1, 5.8S rRNA gene". Lineage: Eukaryota; Fungi. The record is from RNAcentral.